Molecule: non-coding RNA, 109 nt
Organism: Pelobates cultripes (western spadefoot toad)
Lineage: Eukaryota; Metazoa; Chordata; Amphibia; Anura; Pelobatidae
Source: the annotation of a GenBank genome assembly
UUACUCUGGUUUCUCUUCAGACUGAAUAAAUCUUUUGCCUUUUACUACAGAUUUCCGUGGAGAGGAACGGCCACGCGUUUCACUGGUCUUGUUCUAUUCACAUGAACUA